UGGGUGACAGAGUGAGACCCCACCUCAAAACAAAAACAAAAACAAAAAAACCCUGUAACCCAAAACCCUUCCCAAUGCUUAAAGUCUCUCUCCCUCUCCAGUCCGAUCCCCCUUUCAUGGGCUGAAGCCUUCCCCACGUGGAUGGGGACACGAGCAACAUCAACAGCAUGAGGACUACCCUGGCCCAGGCAAGAAGUAAGUAGAGUUUCUGGAAGCCAGCAGCUUCUCUCUUUCUCUCUCAUCUUCACAGGUAUGCAGGCAGGGAACCAGCCUCGGCGAUGGAAAUCAAUGAAUAAGACUUAACCUUCCUGGUGGCAAAUACUCCAACAGGGACAUCACAGACCUUCCACAACUCUGAGGAAGAUGAAAGUCUCCCGUGCACCCAGCUCUGGCUGAGGACGGAAUGACCUGGGGAGAACUUGGGCACUUCAGCUGCCCACAAAGCCCCAGGGAGAAAACCUUCCCAAAAAGGCAGUGGAUAAAUCAGAAUGCAGUGAGGAGCGGAUCCUUUCCAGGACCAAGACAGAUGCUGAAGAAGACAGCAGGGACCGGAGCCCAGCAAACUGGAUGAGAGCAGCAAGGCCUUCAUGCAUCUUCAGGCUCCAUCAGCAGAGGGAGAGAAUGCAUUAGACGGGAGUUUCCUGACUCCUAUUUUCUAAUGUGGCAGU
RNAcentral lists this long non-coding RNA (668 nucleotides) under Homo sapiens (human). RNAcentral describes it as "HSALNT0390301". Lineage: Eukaryota; Metazoa; Chordata; Mammalia; Primates; Hominidae. The record is from RNAcentral.